Molecule: unclassified non-coding RNA, 305 nt
Filed under: plant metagenome
Description: partial contains 5.8S ribosomal RNA, internal transcribed spacer 2, and large subunit ribosomal RNA
Rfam family: 5.8S ribosomal RNA (bases 1-105)
Source: RNAcentral
AAAAUGCGAUAAGUAGCGUGAAUUGCAGAAUUCAGUGAAUCAUCGAAUCUUUGAACGCACAUUGCGCCCGCCAGUAUUCUGGCGGGCAUGCCUGUUCGAGCGUCAUUUCAACCAUCAAGCCCCCGGCUUGUGUUGGGGACCUGCGGCUGCCCGCAGGCCCUGAAAAACAGUGGCGGGCUCGCUGUCACACCGAGCGUAGUAGCAUACAUUCUCGCUCAGGGCGUGCUGCGGGUUCCGGCCGUUAAACGACCUUCAUAACCCAAGGUUGACCUCGGAUCAGGUAGGAAGACCCGCUGAACUUAAGC